UGCCAUUAAGAUCAUGAACAUGAUCAAACUC
Molecule: non-coding RNA, 31 nt
Filed under: Homo sapiens (human)
Lineage: Eukaryota; Metazoa; Chordata; Mammalia; Primates; Hominidae
Source: RNAcentral